UACAGAGGGGGCAAGCGUUGUUCGGAAUUACUGGGCGUAAAGGGCGCGUAUGCGGCCUGCUAAGUCGAACGUGAAAUCCCCGGGCUCAACCCGGGAACUGCGUCCGAUACUGGCUGGCUUGAAUCCGGGAGAGGGAUGCGGAAUUCCAGGUGUAGCGGUGAAAUGCGUAGAUAUCUGGAGGAACACCGGUGGCGAAGGCGGCAUCCUGGACCGGCAUUGACGCUGAGGCGCGAAAGCCAGGGGAGCAAACGGG
RNAcentral lists this ribosomal RNA (253 nucleotides) under uncultured bacterium. RNAcentral describes it as "partial 16S ribosomal RNA". It matches the Rfam family "Bacterial small subunit ribosomal RNA", at positions 524 to 776 of the family's 1533-position model. The record is from RNAcentral.